This is a long non-coding RNA of Oncorhynchus mykiss (rainbow trout), 866 nucleotides long. RefSeq lists it as uncharacterized. The record is from RefSeq and is a predicted model, not a curated record. NCBI's taxonomy places the organism in Eukaryota, Metazoa, Chordata, Actinopteri, Salmoniformes, Salmonidae.
CUAGGCUACACCUAAACGUUAGAAAUCUGACAUGCUGUAUCGGAUGAAAACGAGACACUAUUUCCAUGUGAUCAACUAUUAAAAAUUGUCCCACUGCUCUGGGACCUAUGGUGCCACCAGUCUGCUUGCAGUUGUUAUGUUGAUGAUCAUUGAUUUAUUCAGGAACGUUUCUUAGUCCACUUUGAUGUGUCAAGUGGGCGAGAUGCGCGGUCUGUGUUUGACUUUAGGAAUUUUGAGAUGUCUGAUGUCUGAUGACGCUUCUGUAAUGGAAUGUAUCUGCUAUUUGUAUUUCCAGCUAAGUCCCCUCCUGUUCCUUGAUUAAGAGGUGAUGACCACUCCACUACCAUUGUCAACUUUCUCCUGACAUAAACUGAAGCCUCGUCUCAUGUGCCCGCUCACAUUUCCCCUCCAAGUACUUGGAGCCCUUGUGUGCAGCGGUUGGCUUACCAUUAGGCAGAAGAGGCAGUUGCGUCAGGCCUCACAUAUUGUAUCAUCAAGGGUGAGCUGGGCAUAAUUGAAAAAAUAAAUUACUUAGGUAAGCAGAUAUUUUAGUUAUCUAAUUUCUUCAGUAAAAAGACAGGUGCUGUUGAUAAUACUGCCAUAGUCGUCGAGGCAGAGGCCAUGUGUCUGAUGCUGUCUGGCCAAAACGAGCACGGCAUGUCAAACCUCAGACUGGACUCUGCCUGGAGCCUCCAAAUCACCUAGUCCCCCCUGCUUGCAUGCAACUCUUUGAGGGAAGGUUCACAGUUCCAUACAUUACAUAUCAUGAACUAUUGCCCUCUCGCACACAGUUAAAAGCACUACCUCCUACACUUCUGAUCCACUAACUGGCCUCUAUAACCUUAUACGACCUAGAGGGACCAAGA